Cyprinus carpio carpio is the source of this 610-nucleotide long non-coding RNA. NCBI's taxonomy places the organism in Eukaryota, Metazoa, Chordata, Actinopteri, Cypriniformes, Cyprinidae. The record is from Ensembl.
GGCGAUUGGAAGACUAUCCAAUCAGAAAUGUGCUCUGUCUGUAGCUCAUUUUGUAUUAUCAGGAUUGCUGCCAUCUGAUUGGUUGACGUCUUUAGAGGGUGGGGUUCUGGAGAGAGGUCAUGUGGAAGAUAGGAAACCAGCUUAUAGCACUUGUGGGACAUAUUUUUUUAUCACAUUCUUUGCCAUUUCAAAUUUAAUAGCAAAGACUGCAUUAGAAUUGGCUGUAUCAGAAACAGGUGGCACUUGUAGAGCCGUUCUGCCGCUCUCUGAUGAAUGAGUUGAGUGAGGGAUCUUGUUAAGUGUGUUUUUAUCUGCUUCAUCUGAACUCGGCCUUGAACUGCUGCUUCCUGGGGGAACAAGUCAUGCAUAAUUAAGAGCUGUUGCAGAUAACAGUGCCUGUCUGUUUGCUUGUUUUACUACACAGGCACUACAAGUAAAUCCUCAUCAGUUAAAAACCAGCUUUGUGUGGACAAUCCUUUUAUUUAACAUCCCUAAAACACAACGCAGAGGAACAACCGCUACAAAACUGGUGCCGUGACCCGCCGACUGGUUGAUCGUUGUCGACCGCUGGGAUUGCUGACGUGGUGUGUGACUACCGAUGAGGGGGCUG